Molecule: ribosomal RNA, 464 nt
Filed under: uncultured bacterium
Lineage: Bacteria
Description: bacterial SSU rRNA
Rfam family: Bacterial small subunit ribosomal RNA
Source: RNAcentral
AAUCAACGCUGGCGGCGUGCCUAACACAUGCAAGUCGCACGAGAAAGGGACUUCGGUCCUGAGUACAGUGGCGCACGGGUGAGUAACACGUGAAUAAUCUACCUCCGAGUGGGGAAUAACUGAGAGAAAUCUUAGCUAAUACCGCAUAACACUUACGAGUCAAAGCAGCAAUGCGCUUGGAGAGGAGUUCGCGGCAGAUUAGUUAGUUGGCAGGGUAANGGCCUACCAAGACGAUGAUCUGUAUCCGGCCUGAGAGGGCGCACGGACACACUGGAACUGAAACACGGUCCAGACUCCUACGGGAGGCAGCAGUGGGGAAUUUUGCGCAAUGGGGGAAACCCUGACGCAGCAACGCCGCGUGGAGGAUGAAAUCCCUUGGGAUGUAAACUCCUUUCGAUCGGGAAGAUAAUGACGGUACCGAGAGAAGAACGCCCGGCUAACUUCGUGCCAGCCGCCGCUGUAAC